Molecule: long non-coding RNA, 3239 nt
Filed under: Canis lupus familiaris (dog)
Lineage: Eukaryota; Metazoa; Chordata; Mammalia; Carnivora; Canidae
Description: lncRNA (ENSCAFG00000057818.1)
Source: RNAcentral
CAGAAGACAUUUGACCACACUAAAGAAUGUUUUCCCCUCCCAGUACUUCUAGAUGCUAUAUAGUCCCAGGACAGCUGGGUGGCUCAGCAGUUAAAGUGUCUGCCUUUGGCUCAGGGCGUGGUCCUGAAAUCCUGGGAUUGAGUCACACAUCAGGCUCCCCAUAGGGAGCCUCCUUCUCCCUCUGCCUCUGUCUCUGCCUCUCUCUGUGUAUCUCUCAUGAAUAAAUAAAAUCUGAAAAAAAAAAAAGAUGCUGUAGUCCCUACUACUAUAAUGGCAUUUUGAUCCCCAAAAUGCCUUUAAGACAAAACAGUAACAAGGGGUGCCUGGGUGGCCUAGUCAUUUAAGCAUAUGACUCUUGAUUUUGGCCCAGGUCAUGAUCUCAGGGUCCUGAGAUCAAGCCCCACAUGGGGCUUCAUGCUGAAUAUGGACCCUGCUUGAUACUCUCUCUCCCUCUGCUUCUUGUGCUUUCUCUCUCUCUCUCUAAAUCUUUAAAAAAUAAACAAGGAAAUACAUGUUUCAAGAAGGCAGUUUCCUUCCAGUUCUCCUCGUUUCUUCUUUUUUUUUUAAAGAUUUUAUUUAUUCAUAAGAGACAUACAGAGAGAGGCAGAGACGUAGGCAGAGAGAGAAGCAGGCUCCUCACAGGGAGCCUGAUGCGGGACUCAAUCCCAGGACUCAGGAUCAUGCUCUGAGCCAAAGGCAGACACUCAACCGCUGAGCCACCCAGGCAUCCCAUCUCCCCCUAUUUCUAAUACCCUCAAACUCAGACACAAUGGAGCUCAUCAGGCAAGGCCCAAAGCCUCACUAACUGGGCAGUUAGGAAAGGGUGGCACAGUGGAGGCUGGGGUUGCCUCCUUUCCUCUCUCUACUGUCCCUUUGGCCAUGUCCUAUUAGGAAAAGCAGAAGGCCCAUUAGGCAGCCUGUGGGAUGGGGGGGGGGCCUGGCCCUGCUUUGCCCAACCAAGCCAUACUGGAAGCUCCUUGCUUAGCUGCCCAUCUCAUCUUUAUGUAAGUUCCUGAAUCACCUUUGCAUAGAAAAUAAAAGUGCUCUGUUAAAAUUUUUUUUUUCCUUUCUAGUAAACUACUAUAAGCAAAUUCAACAAACCAGAAAUGAAAAAGUAAAGAGCUCCUAUAAAUCAGUUAACAAUACAAUGGGCAAAGGUUAUGUGAGCAAAUGCUUCAGAGGGAAAAAAAUGGAAACAUGUCUCAACCAUGAAAAGAUGCCCAAUCUUAAACUUAAGAGAAAUGCAAAUUAAAAUAAUAUGGGUAAAAUAUUUUUCACAUUUUUUCAAAGUCAAAAAGUUUGACGACUAAUUUACAAGGUAUGAGAAAGCAUAUAUUGCUGUUGGUGAUAUGUAUGAUACAAGCUCAAUAGAGCAUAAUUUGACAAUAACUAAUACAAAGUGAAAAUGUAUACACUCAGGGCACCUGGGGGGUUCAGUUGGUUAAGCAUCCAACUCUUGAUUUCAGCUCAGGUCUUGAUCUCAGGGUCAUGAGUUCAAGCUCCAUGGUGGACUCCACACUGGGCAUGGGACUCACUUGAAAUAAAAUCACUCUUCAAUCCAGCAAUCCCACUCUCGGAAUUUAUCCUGCAUAUAUCCUCAUAAAUGUAGAUUCCUCAUCCUCACAGAAAUCUAAAUGUUUAUUUUCUGGAAAAGGCAAAAUGAAAGAAUUUCUGUACAGGGCAUACUAAGCCAAAUUCAGGUCACAAGUAGUCACUUGAAGAUGAGGAUUAAGAGGGCAUGUGAUUAUUGAAUGCUAGGAUCCUCAUCCUUGUCUCCCCACUAAGCUGACACAACCAAAUCUUUAUUCUCCAUGCAGAAAUUUUAAAAGAUUAUUUUCUGGAGACUCUGGCAAUUCCCAAGAUAUAGGCCUAAGUUUCCCCAACAAAGGUCCCAUAAAGAUACCCUGCAGUGAACCCCAAAGUCCAGAAGUCCUAAAACCAUGUGCUCAGAUCUUCCAGAAUGUUUUUUUUAGUCCCUGGCUCUAAAUCAUAAGCAGGCAACCAAGGAUUAUCCAUGCAUCUGAGGAAAGCCUCUAAACAUGAGUUUUAGAAAUGAAAACAAAUGAACAGGGGCAGAGGGGAAGCAGUGUUGGAGAAAACAGACUAUAUAGGGAUAUGAGAAUUUUAAAACAUGCUGAUAUUCUCAGAUAAGUUCAUAGUGCAUCUAUGAAACAAACAGGACAACAUUUUUAUAAGAAACCUUGGAUAUUAAAAAUGUGCAUAGCAGGAAUAAAAACAGUAGAAGGGUUGGAAAAGAAAAUUAAAAUCUCCCAGGAAAAGCAACAAGAUAAAUCGUAGGAGGAAAUAGAGAUAAGAAAGACAGGCUCCAUGCCGGGAGCCCGACGUGGGACUCAAUCCCGGGACUCCAGGAUUGCGCCCUGGGCCAAAGGCAGGCGCUAAACCGCUGAGCCACCCAGGGAUCCCCGGAAAUUAAUUUUUUAAAAAAAAGAAGAAAUCCAAUUGUCUAAUAAAAAUUAAAUGAAAAGUAAUGGCCCAUAGCCCUAUUAAAGUCAGGACAAGAAUUUCUGUACCACCAUUUAACAUUUGUACUGAAGUUACUAACCAGAGCAAUCAGACGAGAGGAAGAAAUUAGAUACAUAAAAAGUAGAAAAGACAAAGUAAAGCUUCUGCUAUUUGUUGUUGGUAUGAUCAGGUACUUAGAAAACCUAAGAGAAUCAACUAAAAAACUGCUAUUAAGAGAACUCAAUGAAGUAAUAAGGGAUACGAUUAUCUACAGCACACGCAAGUCUUUAUGCACACAAACAGAUAACAGCAUUACAGCAACCAUGCUCAUACGUGUUCUCUUGUGGACUCAUGUGAGCAUUUGCCUUUGGUAUGUGCUUAGGAGUAAGAUUGCUAGGUCAGAGGGCUUACAUAUUUUUCAUUUGAUUGAAACUGCCAGAUGGCUCUCUGAAACAGCUGCACCAGCUGACACAUCCGCCAGCAUCCUUGCCAGUAUCUGCCAUGUACCCCAGAGAAUGUGCUUCUGCAAAACUAGGGGCUAAACCAAGAAAGAGGAUGACAUGGGAUCUAAGAAAAAAGGAUUAUAAUAAAGAAAAGUGGUGAAAGUAAUCACCAGGAUGUGCAACAGGCCUAAGUUGGAGCAGAAGGAUACACAACUGUGGGAAGGAGGGAUCCAGGAAAUGAAGAGGCGAUGUGCUGCAUUUAGCUGUUUUGAAAAUAUUCCAUUGAUAGGUAACUGAAGGAUCCGUUGGAGGAAACUUUAAAAAAAAAAAAAA